RNAcentral lists this ribosomal RNA (423 nucleotides) under Triticum aestivum (bread wheat). Its description in RNAcentral is "partial small subunit ribosomal RNA". Lineage: Eukaryota; Viridiplantae; Streptophyta; Magnoliopsida; Poales; Poaceae. The record is from RNAcentral.
AUGCGGCCGCGUCAGUUCGCGGCAGCGAGGCGGGGAUGCGGCGCUGCGCUCCCGGGAUGCAGCAGCGAGGCGUCGAGGCAGCGCUGCGCUCGGGCGCGGCAUCAAGCGGCAGCAGCGAGGCGGGAGGCGCACAUGGAGAUGAAGGAGGAGAAAAUGGAGAGUCGGCCGGGGCAAGGAGUUCGCCGGCGUCGAAGCCACGGACCACGGCGCUGCAAGCUUGCAGGGGGCGGUGGCCAUGGCGGGGAGGCGGCGUUGAGCUCGGGAGCCGCAUGCCUCCUCUGCCGCUCCUUCUUUCUUUCUUCCCCAACUCCUCUCUUGCACGUCGUCGUCUUGCCGCCCACGCAGCAAAGAGGUCGAGGAAGAGGCGGGAGUCGGGUCAAUCGAUCUGUCGCACGAGGAUGCGGCACUCCCUGUUGCAUCUAG